CGCACAAGCGGAGGAGCAUGUGGCUUAAUUCGAUGCAACGCGAAGAACCUUACCAGGGCUUGACAUGCAGCUGCAUGUUCGUCGAAAGGCGGACAGCCUUCGGGGGUGCUGCACAGGUGCUGCAUGGCUGUCGUCAGUUCGUGCCGUGAGGUGUUGGGUUAAGUCCCGCAACGAACGCAGCCCCUGUGUCUAGUUGCUACCGGGUAAAGCCGGGCACUCUAGACAGACUGCCUGUAUAAGCAGGAGGAAGGUGGGGACGACGUCAAGUCAGUAUGGCCCUUACGCCCUGGGCUGCACACGUGCUACAAUGGCUGGUACAAUGGGAUGCAAAGCCGCGAGGUGGAGCUAAUCCAGAAAGCCAGCCCCAGUUCAGAUUGCAGUCUGCAACUCGACUGCAUGAAGUUGGAUUCGCUAGUAACGGCGCAUCAGCUACGGCGCCGUGAAUACGUUCCCGGGCCUUGUACACACCGCCCGUCACAUCAUGAAAGCUGUCUGCACCCGAAGUCGUUGAACCAACCCGCAAGGGAGGUAGAUGCCUAAGGUGUGGGUAGUGAUUGGGAUGAAGUCGUAACAAGGUAGCCGUA
RNAcentral lists this ribosomal RNA (584 nucleotides) under uncultured bacterium. RNAcentral's name for it is "bacterial SSU rRNA". It matches the Rfam family "Bacterial small subunit ribosomal RNA", at positions 922 to 1504 of the family's 1533-position model. The record is from RNAcentral.